This 109-nucleotide ribosomal RNA is filed under the name Pseudomonas sp. P7779. RNAcentral describes it as "partial 16S ribosomal RNA". It matches the Rfam family "Bacterial small subunit ribosomal RNA", at positions 1427 to 1533 of the family's 1533-position model. Lineage: Bacteria; Pseudomonadati; Pseudomonadota; Gammaproteobacteria; Pseudomonadales; Pseudomonadaceae. The record is from RNAcentral.
UAGCUAGUCUAACCUUCGGGGGGACGGUUACCACGGUGUGAUUCAUGACUGGGGUGAAGUCGUAACAAGGUAGCCGUAGGGGAACCUGCGGCUGGAUCACCUCCUUAAU